UUGUGGCUUGAUAGUGUAAUGUAAUGAUGUUUUAUUAUAUUAAAAGAUACAAGUUUUUGUUGCAGUGGAUUCAUCAAUACAAGAACAAAUUGCAAUGUGAAUGUAUCUUGGUUUCAGACUGAGAUAAUAAGGUUAUUCUUUUUGAAUCCUACAGUAACCCUGAAGGACCCGAAAUGGAGAACUGUGUACAAGCUGACACAAGGGGUAAAAUAUCAUCUAACCAAGCAAGGUCAUGUUGG
Chiloscyllium plagiosum (whitespotted bambooshark) is the source of this 239-nucleotide non-coding RNA. The record is from RefSeq and is a predicted model, not a curated record. NCBI's taxonomy places the organism in Eukaryota, Metazoa, Chordata, Chondrichthyes, Orectolobiformes, Hemiscylliidae.